This is a long non-coding RNA of Tribolium castaneum (red flour beetle), 322 nucleotides long. RefSeq lists it as uncharacterized. The record is from RefSeq and is a predicted model, not a curated record. Lineage: Eukaryota; Metazoa; Arthropoda; Insecta; Coleoptera; Tenebrionidae. The transcript has 2 exons.
UUUUGGUUGCGAUGGCACUUCUAAACAAUCGGUCCCUUGAUUGCGGAAUAAUAUAGUUCUCAUCAAAAUGCAUUUUGCAAACAAAUCCUCGACGACGAAUUGUCUCAGGUGCAAAUGCGGAUAGGAUUUGGAAACUGGUACAUUUUUAUUGCAGUUGCACAGCAUCCAUACAUAGCACAGGAAUGUUUCCCCGUAGACAUGUUAUCUACAAAUCAAAAAUCAUUUUUAUUACCAGAGAUUACAAAGAAGUACAAUAUCUACUGUAAACAAUUUUUUUUUUGAAAAUAUGAUAACGGGCAAUAAAUUUUAAAUCAUGCAAUAA